Pogonomyrmex barbatus (red harvester ant) is the source of this 944-nucleotide long non-coding RNA. RefSeq lists it as uncharacterized. NCBI's taxonomy places the organism in Eukaryota, Metazoa, Arthropoda, Insecta, Hymenoptera, Formicidae. The record is from RefSeq and is a predicted model, not a curated record.
UGGUUGACCAACUAUUUAAUUUUACAUAAAAUACUUAUAAAAGUUGCUGGAACGAUCGGAAUGGAAGUUACUUCUGCAAUAGAAGUCAUGCUAAUGCCAUGGCGUUUUCUGAUUGGUUACGUCAACCCCCCACUUUCGAGUGCCGCCGUUUUUCCUGUGUUGCAGAAAACCAGGUGCAGUCCCUUAAUGCUACAAAUACUUCACAUUUUUUGAUUGGUCAAUUCAUAGAAUUCUUUGUUUUGAUUGGUUAAUCAAAUGCUUCGAAGUUUUGGUAGCGCUAAAAGGACCGUAGUCACCAUAAUAUUAGUUUCACUCUCGUGGGGACAGUAUCCUUAAAGGUGCAAUUUCAUGUAGUGAAGCAAAGCUGGUUUUUACCCUCACUCCAUCUCAAUGCAAAACAGCGUUGAAAAGCUAUCGCUAUCGCCUCCUUCCUUUUCAUAGAGCAAAGAAAAGCUAGCGUUUUAUCCCUACUCCACCUCAAUGCAAAGUAGCAUAAAGACUUUAAAGCAUUUGUAGUGUCAAAUGUGCUGUAGCUGGAAAGUUAUUGUAAUUAAAAAAAAAAACUAAAUUUCUUAUUUUGUCUUAAAAAUAAAUUAUAAUAGUCAUUGUCAAUACAUCGAAUACAUGGAGUAAUAUAGAUAUAUAGUAGCAAUCAUCGUUGCAGUAGAGAUCAGGAGACGCAUAAUCGGUGUACUUGCUAUGAUACAUUUAAAAUUAUGGCGUAUCAUUUUAACUGUUGGACAAUAUCGAACUUUCAGCGAAAAUUGAUGGAGAGAGGGUAAAAGCUAGCUUUGCUUUGCUGCAUGAAAUUACACAUUUAUUGUGCAAUCGUUGUUAUUGCUGAACACCACCACAAAGUAUAUCAAAAAGCCUACCGCCUGACUGAGCUCUUAGCAAGUUUUUAUACCCGAUUGAUAUAUUCUUUUAUAAUAAAAAAAAAAAAA